Molecule: ribosomal RNA, 246 nt
Filed under: uncultured bacterium
Lineage: Bacteria
Description: partial small subunit ribosomal RNA
Rfam family: Bacterial small subunit ribosomal RNA
Source: RNAcentral
AGAAUCAACGCUGGCGGCGUGCCUAACACAUGCAAGUCGAACGAGAAAGGGGUAGCAAUACCCUGAGUAAAGUGGCGCACGGGUGAGUAACACGUGACUAACCUACCCUUGAGUGGGGGAUAACUGAGGGAACCUUAGCUAAUACCGCACAAUACCCACGGGUCAAAGGAGCAAUUCGCUCGAGGAGGGGGUCGCGGCCGAUUAGCUAGUUGGCGGGGUAAUGGCCCACCAAGACGAUGAUCGGUA